AUUGAACGCUGGCGGCAUGCCUUACACAUGCAAGUCGAACGGUAACAGGGAGCUUGCUCCGCUGACGAGUGGCGAACGGGUGAGUAAUGUAUCGGAACGUACCAUAGAGUGGGGGAUAACUAUCCGAAAGGAUAGCUAAUACCGCAUAUUCUCUCCGGAGGAAAGCAGGGGACCGCAAGGCCUUGCGCUCUUUGAGCGGCCGAUAUCAGAUUAGCUAGUUGGUGAGGUAAAGGCUCACCAAGGCGACGAUCUGUAGCGGGUCUGAGAGGAUGAUCCGCCACACUGGAACUGAGACACGGUCCAGACUCCUACGGGAGGCAGCAGUGGGGAAUUUUGGACAAUGGGGGCAACCCUGAUCCAGCCAUGCCGCGUGAGUGAAGAAGGCCUCGGUUGUAAGCUCUUCGUCCGGGAGAAUACGCACAGGCCAAUACCCUCGUGUGGAUGACGGUACCGGAAGUAAGAAGCACCGGCUAACUACGUGCCAGCACG
Molecule: ribosomal RNA, 489 nt
Filed under: uncultured bacterium
Lineage: Bacteria
Description: bacterial SSU rRNA
Rfam family: Bacterial small subunit ribosomal RNA
Source: RNAcentral